GAUUACGGCCAUACCACCUUAGGCACGCCCGAUCUCGUAUGAUCUCGGAAGCUAAGCAGGGUCGGGCCUGGUUAGUACUUGGAUGGGUGACCGCCUGGGAAUACCAGGUGCUGUAAGCA
RNAcentral lists this ribosomal RNA (119 nucleotides) under Gadus morhua (Atlantic cod). The record is from RNAcentral. Lineage: Eukaryota; Metazoa; Chordata; Actinopteri; Gadiformes; Gadidae.